GUGAGGAAUUUUCCGCAAUGGGCGAAAGCCUGACGGAGCAAUGCCGCGUGAAGGAUGAAGGCCUAUGGGUUGUAAACUUCUUUUCUCAGAAAAGAAUUAUGACGGUAUCUGAGGAAUAAGCAUCGGCUAACUCUGUGCCAGCAGCCGCGGUAAGACAGAGGAUGCAAGCGUUAUCCGGAAUGAUUGGGCGUAAAGCGUCUGUAGGUUGUUUAAAAAGUAUUCUGUCAAAGAUUAGGGCUUAACCCUAGAUAGGCAGAAUAAACUUUUAAGCUAGAGUUUGGUAGAGGCAGAGGGAAUUCCCGGUGGAGCAGUGAAAUGCGUAGAUAUCGGGAGGAACACCAAAGGCGAAGGCACUUUGCUGGGCCAAUACUAACACUGAGAGACGAAAGCGAGGGGAGCAAAUGGGAUUAGAAACCCUGGUAGUCC
This 426-nucleotide ribosomal RNA is filed under the name uncultured bacterium. RNAcentral's name for it is "partial 16S ribosomal RNA". It matches the Rfam family "Bacterial small subunit ribosomal RNA", at positions 354 to 796 of the family's 1533-position model. The record is from RNAcentral.